Molecule: small nuclear RNA, 19 nt
Filed under: Arabidopsis thaliana (thale cress)
Lineage: Eukaryota; Viridiplantae; Streptophyta; Magnoliopsida; Brassicales; Brassicaceae
Description: snRNA_09714
Source: RNAcentral
CCUAUACCCGGCCGUCGGG